CUACGGGUGGCUCCAGUGGGGAAUAUUGCACAAUGGGCGCAAGCCUGAUGCAGCCAUGCCGCGUGUAUGAAGAAGGCCUUCGGGUUGUAAAGUACUUUCAGCGGGGAGGAAGGGAGUAAAGUUAAUACCUUUGCUCAUUGACGUUACCCGCAGAAGAAGCACCGGCUAAUCCGUGCCAGCAGCCGCGGUAAUACGGAGGGUGCAAGCGUUAAUCGGAAUUACUGGGCGUAAAGCGCACGCAGGCGGUUUGUUAAGUCAGAUGUGAAAUCCCCGGGCUCAACCUGGGGACUGCAUCUGAUACUGGCAAGCUUGAGUCUCGUAGAGGGGGGUAGAAUUCCAGGUGUAGCGGUGAAAUGCGUAGAGAUCUGGAGGAAUACCGGUGGCGAAGGCGGCCCCCUGGACGAAGACUGACGCUCAGGUGCGAAAGCGUGGGGAGCAAACAGGAUUAGAUACCCGAGUAGUC
Molecule: ribosomal RNA, 463 nt
Filed under: uncultured bacterium
Lineage: Bacteria
Description: partial 16S ribosomal RNA
Rfam family: Bacterial small subunit ribosomal RNA
Source: RNAcentral